ACUAACUAGGAUUCCCUCAGUAGCGGCGAGCGAACAGGGAAGAGCCCAGCACCGAAUCCCGCGCCCCCGGCGCCGGGAAAUGUGGUGUUUGGGAGGGUCCGUUAUCCCGGGGCCCGGCGCGCGGUCCAAGUCCCUCUUGAACGGGGCCAUUCACCCACAGAGGGUGCCAGGCCCGUAGGACCGCCGCCGGCCGUGGGAGGACUCCUCCUCAGAGUCGGGUUGCUUGAAAAUGCAGCCCUAAGAGGGUGGUAAACUCCAUCUAAGGCUAAAUAUGACCACGAGACCGAUAGCGAACAAGUACCGUGAGGGAAAGUUGAAAAGAACUUUGAAGAGAGAGUUCAAUAGUACGUGAAACCGUUCAGGGGUAAACCUGAGAAACCCGAAAGGUCGAACGGGGAGAUUCAGUCGCGUCUCGGCGGCGGAGCGCGGCGGGCGCGCGACGGCCGCCACCUCGGUGGCGGUCGCGCCGCCGGCCCGCAGCCGUCCGUCGAACGCGUGCACUUCUCCCCGAAGUAGGACGUCGCGACCCGUUGGGGGCCGGCCUAAGGCCCGCGGUGGAGCCCGCGCGGCGACCUCGGUCGCCCGCGCGGACCCGCGGUGUCCCGGCCGGCCCGACGACGGUACGAUUAAGGCGCGGGGCCGCGACAUGUUCGCGCCCGGCCCGUCGCAAGCGCAGCCGGAAGCUCGGCGGUCGGACCUAGCGCCGGCCCCGGGCCCCGGCGGCUGUUGGCGGCGGUGCCCUCGGGCUGACCCCGUUAGCCGGUCGGCGGCGCUAUAGCUUUGGGUACUUUCAGGACCCGUCUUGAAACACGGACCAAGGAGUCUAGCAUGUGCGCGAGUCAUUGGGACUAGCGAAACCUAAAGGCGAAAUGAAAGUGAAGGCCCGCCUCGCGCGGGCCGAGGACGGAUGGGCGGCGGCUCGCCGCCGCCCCGCACGUCCGGGGCGUCCCGAUCUCAUCGCGAGAUGGGGCGCACCCAGAGCGUACACGCUGGGACCCGAAAGAUGGUGAACUAUGCCUGGUCAGGACGAAGUCAGGGGAAACCCUGAUGGAGGUCCGCAGCGAUUCUGACGUGCAAAUCGAUCGUCGGAACUGGGUAUAGGGGCGAAAGACUAAUCGAACCAUCUAGUAGCUGGUUCCCUCCGAAGUUUCCCUCAGGAUAGCUGGCGCUCGCCUGUACGAGUCUCAUCCGGUAAAGCGAAUGAUUAGAGGCAUUGGGGUCGAAACGGCCUCAACCUAUUCUCAAACUUUAAAUGGGUGAGAUCUCCGGCUUGCUCGAACGUGAAGCCGCGAGACCUCGGAUCAGAG
This 1307-nucleotide ribosomal RNA is filed under the name Meropathus sp. DDM0055. Its description in RNAcentral is "eukaryotic LSU rRNA". It matches the Rfam family "Eukaryotic large subunit ribosomal RNA", at positions 64 to 1119 of the family's 3401-position model. The record is from RNAcentral. Lineage: Eukaryota; Metazoa; Arthropoda; Insecta; Coleoptera; Hydraenidae.